UGACAGCCUCAAUUUUUUUGC
This 21-nucleotide non-coding RNA is filed under the name Caenorhabditis elegans. The record is from RNAcentral. Lineage: Eukaryota; Metazoa; Nematoda; Chromadorea; Rhabditida; Rhabditidae.